AAGUCGUAACAAGGUCUCCGUAGGUGAACCUGCGGAGGGAUCAUUAACACUGAUUAGCAAACAAAGUAGACUUCUUAUGAUAGAACUGUAACUAGUCCUAUCAUUUGUUCUCUACUUUGCUUGUAUACCAACUCGUGAACGAAACAUUAUGCCUCUCCUUAGUUGUUGUAACAACAGCUAAGUUAUGUUUUUUAUUGUAUUUAUUUUAUACAAACUAUAACCUCAAUGUAUAACGUUUUCAUAAAUAACGCACAUUGUGUAUUAUUUAUGAUGAUAAGUUAAACAAUUUAAGCACAACUCUUAGCAACGGAUAUCUCGGUUCUC
Molecule: unclassified non-coding RNA, 324 nt
Filed under: fungal sp.
Lineage: Eukaryota; Fungi
Description: partial internal transcribed spacer region
Rfam family: Eukaryotic small subunit ribosomal RNA (bases 1-46)
Source: RNAcentral